RNAcentral lists this long non-coding RNA (1988 nucleotides) under Sus scrofa (pig). Its description in RNAcentral is "lncRNA (ENSSSCG00070006940.1)". The record is from RNAcentral. Lineage: Eukaryota; Metazoa; Chordata; Mammalia; Artiodactyla; Suidae.
GGAGGUGCAGGAGCAAGCAGUUUGGUGGCCAGCAUUUCUGAAAACAUGGCUGUCGUGUGGGUCCCAGAAAAGCAGCACCUGCCUGAGGUGGAAACUUGUUAGAAGUGCAGAGGUGCAGACCCCACCCCGCCUGCCUGGCUCAGGAUCUGCCUGUUCCCAAGAGCGCCAGGGGUUCCUGUGCAGUCACAGCUGACAGCACAGCUCUGGGUGAAGCCAGGCCUUGGUCAGCCACCCAGGACUCUACCUGCUGACCAGGACAAGGUCCAGGGCACAUCCAGGGCUGCAACAAUUAUUAUACUGUGGGCUGAAGAUGUUCACAGGAGAGGCUUCAGUGGAGGAAAUGUUUUGUUUCUCUCUCUCACACACACACACUUAUUAUAUCGUAAAGGACCCAGACUCAGAAGAGAUUUAACUUAUGUUUUGCUUUGUCACCCAAUACCUGUGGAACCUUGACCAGGUCCCUGACUUCUCUGAGCAUGUUCCCCUCUCUCUAAAAAAAGGGAUUAAACUGUGACUCCAUUGAGCUGGGCACUCACAGGGAGCGACCAGUAAACAUGUCCCAGGUGUGAACUCAUUGAAUCCUCUGGACAACCCAGUUGAUGCCAGCACUAUUAUUUCCCACACUUGACAGGUGAGGACCUGGAGGCACAGAGCACGACCCAACCUGCUGGCGAUCACACGGCUCGUGGGUGGAGGAGGGGGUGCAGCGCCUGGGCGGCCUGGCUUGGGGGGCCCACGCUCUGCUGCGACACAGUGGAACCACCCGCAGCCGUGUGCAGAUUCCAUGGACGGGUGCAUGUAAACCCUGCAGCCCAGCACCCGAGCCCUCCAAAACAUCAUCACCAAGAGACCUGGCUUCGCACCUGGCUCUUUGCUCUUCAAGAAGAGCUGCCUCUCUUUCUCUGGUCCUAGGCCAAAACAUUCCAGAGAAGGCACAGUCCAGGGCACAGCUCUGGACAGGCAGCCCACCCCUCGCUGGCUGGAGUGAAAGGAGGAGCAGAUCCCAGGAAGACAGACUGAGCAAACAUACCAGAUGCCAUAGACAUCUCUCAUGGCACCAAGCAAGAGGCCAGAUUCUAGGUAUGCAUGGGGAGGGCAGAAGAGAGAGGGCGGUAGAAGACCUGUCGGGGUGGGGUUGGGGAAGAGUGGGGAAAGGGUCCUUCUGUAGCAUAAGCAUGCUAAUUGGAAGGACAUUCAGUUCUGCUCGCGAUCACAGGUGCCUCAGGCCAUAUAUGUUUCCUGCCAAUUUCCUUUCAACCUUAACUAAUAAGUUCUCCGUAAAUUCUGUCUGAUCUAGUGGGCAAAGUAUAGUACCAUUUUCUGUUUAGCUGUGCUUGGUAUAGCGAGAAAGGUUCCCAAAAAUGUUGUUGCCCUCAUCCCUUUGUCUGUAAGUGUCUAUCCAGCACGAACCCUUUCUUAAUAGGCUCCCUACGAAAUGUGGGAGGUAGUAAUAUUCACCAGCAGUAGCUGCAUCUUUUUACUUGAUAGAAUAUAUCUUCUGGCGGUAAACUCUAGCUGCGAGUGUGAUGGGAGCGUAUUUGCUGUAGAAGCUGGACACAGCGGCCGGGUCUUAGCUUUCCCAGAACGGAUCGCCAGCCCGACAAUGGUGCUAACAGGGAUGUGCAGUGGAAAUGACAGGACUUUGGAGCUAGAAAGCCUCAGACUCGAAUCCAGGUUGUAAAAUAAGGACGAUAAUGACUAAGAACUGACGGACUAAGGGCUGCAAUGCGGCAAGUGGUGCACCAUCCAGAUCACCCUUUGUGACUAAGUCAUUUGUUCCCCCAGCUGCUGAGGGUCCUGGGGCUGAUCCCUCACCACCGAGACCCUUCCUAUGGUUUAUUCAAUCAGAAUAAUUUCAAAAUAACUGAAGUCCUUUACUAAUUCUAUUAGGAAUAAGACUUUGGGUUGCAAGUUGCAAAAAACCCUGUUGAGAUUGUUUAGGGGAAGGAAGAGUUUAUCUGUGAAUCCAUAUGGUUGGUGGGGAAGGU